UCAGCGGCAGACGGGUGAUGUAACACGUAGGUGAUCUACCCCAGAGACGGGGAUAACGGGUGGAAACAUCCGCUAAUACCGGAUAGACUUGUUCGGUCAAAGGGACAAGGAAAGGCUCCGGCGCUCUGGGAGGAGCCUGCGGUCCAUCAGCUAGUUGGCGGGGUAACGGCCCACCAAUGCAAAGACGGGUAGGGGGUGUGAGAGCAUGGACCCCCACAAUGGGACUGGAACACGGCCCAUACUCCUACGGGAGGCAGCAGCAGGGAAUAUUGCACAAUGGACGGAAGUCUGAUGCAGCGACGCCGCGUGGAUGAAGAAGGCCCUCGGGUUGUAAAAUCCUUUACAGGGGGAAGAGGAAGGACGGUACCCCUGGAACAAGUGUCGGCUAACUACGUGCCAGCAGCCGCGGUAAGACGUAGGACACAAGCGUUAUCCGGAUUUACUGGGCGUAAAGCGUCUGCAGGCGGACAGGUAAGUCGGGCGUGACAGCUCCGGGCCCAACCCGGAGAGGUCGUCCAAUACUGCGUGUCUAGAGGGUGUCAGAGGGGAGUGGAAUUUCCGGAGUAGCGGUGAAUUGCGCAGAGAUCGGAAAGAACACCAAUGGCGAAGGCAGCUCCCUGGGGCAACCCUGACGCUAAGAGACGAAAGCUAGGGGAGCGAACAGGAUUAGAGACCCUGGUAGUCCUAGCCCUAAACGAUGGAUGCUGGAUGUGGGGCCAUAGCGCUCCGUGUCGAAGCGAACGCGUUAAGCAUCCCGGCUGGGGACUACGGUCGCCAGGUUUAAAAGUCUAACGAAUUGACGGGAACCCGCACAAGCAGCGGAGCGUGUGGUUUAAUUCGAUGCUACACGAAGAACCUUUACCUGGGUUUGACAUCUAGCUGGUAUUGAAGCGAAAGCGGAGCGACCCUUCGGGGAGCCUAGACAGGUGCUGCAUGGCUGUCGUCAGCUCGUGCCGUGAGAUGUCGGGUUAAGUCCCGUAACGAGCGCAACCCUUGCCCUCCGUUAUACGUGUCAGAGGGGACUGCCGGCGGUAAGCCGGAGGAAGGUGGGGAUGACGUCAAGUCAGCAUGGCCUGGAUAUCCAGGGCUACACACACGCUACAAUGGCCAGUACAAAGGGCAGCGAAGCCGCGAGGUGGAG
RNAcentral lists this ribosomal RNA (1141 nucleotides) under uncultured organism. RNAcentral's name for it is "bacterial SSU rRNA". It matches the Rfam family "Bacterial small subunit ribosomal RNA", at positions 92 to 1267 of the family's 1533-position model. The record is from RNAcentral.